RNAcentral lists this ribosomal RNA (429 nucleotides) under Acidobacteriota bacterium. Its description in RNAcentral is "Acidobacteria bacterium partial 16S ribosomal RNA". It matches the Rfam family "Bacterial small subunit ribosomal RNA", at positions 355 to 776 of the family's 1533-position model. The record is from RNAcentral. Lineage: Bacteria; Pseudomonadati; Acidobacteriota.
UGGGGAAUUUUGGACAAUGGGGGAAACCCUGAUCCAGCCAUCCCGCGUGUGCGAUGAAGGCCUUCGGGUUGUAAAGCACUUUUGGCAGGAAAGAAACGUCAUGGGUUAAUACCCCGUGAAACUGACGGUACCUGCAGAAUAAGCACCGGCUAACUACGUGCCAGCAGCCGCGGUAAUACGUAGGGUGCACGCGUUAAUCGGAAUUACUGGGCGUAAAGCGUGCGCAGGCGGUUCGGAAAGAAAGAUGUGAAAUCCCAGAGCUCAACUUUGGAACUGCAUUUUUAACUACCGGUCUAGAGUGUGUCAGAGGGCGGUGGAAUUCCGCGUGUAGCAGUGAAAUGCGUGGAUAUGCGGAGGAACACCGAUGGCGAAGGCAGCCUCCUGGGAUAACACUGACGCUCAUGCACGAAAGCGUGGGGAGCAAACAGG